This 581-nucleotide ribosomal RNA is filed under the name uncultured Chitinophagaceae bacterium. RNAcentral's name for it is "bacterial SSU rRNA". It matches the Rfam family "Bacterial small subunit ribosomal RNA", at positions 102 to 681 of the family's 1533-position model. The record is from RNAcentral. Lineage: Bacteria; Pseudomonadati; Bacteroidota; Chitinophagia; Chitinophagales; Chitinophagaceae.
ACGGGUGCGGAACACGUACAGAACCUUCCUUUAAGUGGGGAAUAGCCCAGGGAAACUUGGAUUAAUACCCCGUAAUAUUAUGAAGUGGCAUCACUUUAUAAUUAUAGCUCCGGCGCUUGAAGAUGGCUGUGCGGCUGAUUAGGUAGUUGGCGGGGUAACGGCCCACCAAGCCUACGAUCAGUAACUGGUGUGAGAGCACGACCAGUCACACGGGCACUGAGACACGGGCCCGACUCCUACGGGAGGCAGCAGUAAGGAAUAUUGGUCAAUGGACGCAAGUCUGAACCAGCCAUGCCGCGUGGAGGAUGAAGGUCCUCUGGAUUGUAAACUUCUUUUCUCUGGGGCGAAAAAAGCUCAUUCUUGAGCACUUGACAGUACCAGAGGAAUAAGCACCGGCUAACUCCGUGCCAGCAGCCGCGGUAAUACGGAGGGUGCAAGCGUUAUCCGGAUUCACUGGGUUUAAAGGGUGCGUAGGAGGGCAGGUAAGUCAGUGGUGAAAUCCCCGAGCUUAACUUGGGAACUGCCGUUGAUACUAUCUGUCUUGAAUAUUGUGGAGGUAAGCGGAAUAUGUCAUGUAGCGG